RNAcentral lists this unclassified non-coding RNA (153 nucleotides) under uncultured fungus. RNAcentral describes it as "sequence contains ITS1, 5.8S rRNA gene". Lineage: Eukaryota; Fungi. The record is from RNAcentral.
ACGAGACUGGGUGCUUCGGCGCCCGACCUCCAACCCUUUGUCCACCUUACCACUGUUGCCUCGGCGCACGCGGGAGCGAUCCUGCAGCGCCGGUGGCCAAAAACACUAAACCCUUUUGAACCCAGUUUUCUGAGAAAUUAUUUAAUAACUUCA